This 497-nucleotide ribosomal RNA is filed under the name uncultured bacterium. RNAcentral's name for it is "partial 16S ribosomal RNA". It matches the Rfam family "Bacterial small subunit ribosomal RNA", at positions 28 to 507 of the family's 1533-position model. The record is from RNAcentral.
GAUGAACGCUGGCGGCGUGCCUAAUACAUGCAAGUCGAGCGAACGGACGAGAAGCUUGCUUCUCUGAUGUUAGCGGCGGACGGGUGAGUAACACGUGGAUAACCUACCUAUAAGACUGGGAUAACUUCGGGAAACCGUAGCUAAUACCGGAUAAUAUUUUGAACCGCAUGGUUCAAAAGUGAAAGACGGUCUUGCUGUCACUUAUAGAUGGAUCCGCGCUGCAUUAGCUAGUUGGUAAGGUAACGGCUUACCAAGGCAACGAUGCAUAGCCGACCUGAGAGGGUGAUCGGCCACACUGGAACUGAGACACAGUCCAGACUCCUACGGGAGGCAGCAGUAGGGAAUCUUCCGCAAUGGGCGAAAGCCUGACGGAGCAACGCCGCGUGAGUGAUGAAGGUCUUCGGAUCGUAAAACUCCGUUAUUAGGGAAGAACAUAUGUGUAAGUAACUGUGCACAUCUUGACGGUACCUAAUCAGAAAGCCACGGCUAACUACGUG